AGACAUAAGGAAAUGGGGUACAGAAAGGAAGAAAGAUAGGCACAGGGGUAACAUCUUAGAGUGUAUCCGGAUCCAUUGUCAUCCUGCUAGAGUAUGGGCAUAAAACAAUCAGGUAUAUAGUGCUAGCAGUGGUGUUAUCCUGGCAUGUUACAUUCACAGUAUAUCCAUCUGAGUAUUAGCUGCCGCUAUCUCCAAGCAGGAUGAACCUCAAGCACUGAGUCUUAUCUAAAGCCUUCCUACUAAUUUAGCUGGCUGCAAACCCAAGUUAUCAGCGGCGUCUUCAGUAGUUCUUGUUUAAGUUACCUGUGGAGGGUGUUUGCCCUUUGUUAAUCCCAGAACUAGGAGUAGG
Molecule: non-coding RNA, 349 nt
Organism: Pelobates cultripes (western spadefoot toad)
Lineage: Eukaryota; Metazoa; Chordata; Amphibia; Anura; Pelobatidae
Source: the annotation of a GenBank genome assembly